RNAcentral lists this ribosomal RNA (956 nucleotides) under Enterococcus faecium. RNAcentral describes it as "partial 23S ribosomal RNA". It matches the Rfam family "Bacterial large subunit ribosomal RNA", at positions 1 to 950 of the family's 2925-position model. The record is from RNAcentral. Lineage: Bacteria; Bacillati; Bacillota; Bacilli; Lactobacillales; Enterococcaceae.
GUUGAUAAGGUUAAGUGAAUAAGGGCGCACGGUGGAUGCCUUGGCACUAGGAGCCGAUGAAGGACGGGACUAACACCGAUAUGCUUUGGGGAGCUGUACGUAAGCUAUGAUCCAGAGAUUUCCGAAUGGGGGAACCCAGCAUCUUUAAUAGGAUGUUACGAUUGUGUGAAUACAUAGCACAUUCGAGGUAGACGCAGAGAACUGAAACAUCUAAGUACCUGCAGGAAGAGAAAGAAAAUUCGAUUCCCUGAGUAGCGGCGAGCGAAACGGGAAAAGCCCAAACCAACAAGCUUGCUUGUUGGGGUUGUAGGACUCCGAUAUGGUCGUUCUUUCAGAUAGUCGAAUGACUUGGAAAAGUCAGUCAAAGAGGGUAAAAACCCCGUAGACGAAAUGUGGAAGACACCUAGGAGGAUCCUGAGUACGGCGGAACACGAGAAAUUCCGUCGGAAUCCGGGAGGACCAUCUCCCAAGGCUAAAUACUCCCUAGUGACCGAUAGUGAACCAGUACCGUGAGGGAAAGGUGAAAAGCACCCCGGAAGGGGAGUGAAAUAGAACCUGAAACCGUGUGCCUACAACAAGUCAAAGCCCGUUAAUGGGUGAUGGCGUGCCUUUUGUAGAAUGAACCGGCGAGUUACGAUUGCAUGCGAGGUUAAGUUGAAGAGACGGAGCCGCAGCGAAAGCGAGUCUGAAUAGGGCGUUUGAGUAUGUAGUCGUAGACCCGAAACCAUGUGAUCUACCCAUGUCCAGGUUGAAGGUGCGGUAAAACGCACUGGAGGACCGAACCCACGUACGUUGAAAAGUGCGGGGAUGAGGUGUGGGUAGCGGAGAAAUUCCAAACGAACUUGGAGAUAGCUGGUUCUCUCCGAAAUAGCUUUAGGGCUAGCCUCGGAAUUGAGAAUGAUGGAGGUAGAGCACUGUUUGGACUAGGGGCCCAUCUCGGGUUACCGAAUUCAGAU